Molecule: long non-coding RNA, 1401 nt
Filed under: Homo sapiens (human)
Lineage: Eukaryota; Metazoa; Chordata; Mammalia; Primates; Hominidae
Description: non-protein coding lnc-RPS24-3:35
Source: RNAcentral
AGCCUCAACUGCUUGAGCUAAGAGCAAGCUCAGUGUUUCCUUCAAGCAGCAUCGUGGACAGAUUCCUGCCAGACCCUUCAGAGCAAGCACCCCACACCCCUAGCCCAGGGUCUCUUCAUCGAUAGGGGGUGAUCUGUCUGCCCCUCACUGUUUUCUCCAAAUAGCAUCUCCAAAUGGACUAGACUCGACAAGCAAACAGUCUGCAGUGGACCCCUUGGGUCAUCCAUUCUGAUGGAAACAGAAAUAGAAUUCCAGCCCGGUGGAGUGGAGAAGGCUCCAGGAGGGCGUCGGGCCCAACCACCUUGCGUUAUGGAGCACAGAGAGGGAUUCUGCUGUGGUCACAUAGCACCUAAGUGGUUGCAGCAGCCUCAGAACAGGCUGUCCUGCCUGAGUCGUUCCUCGUGAUCACUGCUGGCGUUUCUCCUGCUGGCCUUCAUGGCAAGGCUGAUGGCCAGGGCACACAGGAGCAACGGCACUGCUGGUCUAGCAAGUACCACUCUCUGGCCUGCUCCACAGCCCGGCCACAGCAAGGGAGAGAUAAGAUCUCACUAUAUUGCCCUGGCUGGUCUCAAACUCCCGUGUUCAAGUCAUCUGCCUGCCUCGACCUCCUAAAGGGCAAGCGGGAUUACAGCCUUCUCCACAGCCCAGCCACAGUGAGGGAGUCAUCAGCACUGGAACCCGGGGUCCACGGCCUUGGAGGAUCCGGACCCUCCGCAUUUGAGGAACUUGGCCUUCAGUCAGGGAGCCAAGAAGUCCCUGCCAAUCAAGGAGGGGGUGUGGGCUGGUGGGGGGGGGGCAGCCUUGGGGCACGGGAGCUGAUAGACCAGACUCAAGAGUUCUACUCCUGACUUCUAGAUUGUUCCACCUCCAUAUGGAAUAUGUUCCUUCCAUCUAACACUGUGUGAUUUGGGGACCAUCCAACUCAAAUGAAAGAAGCCAAGCCAUGCAGCGAGCCACCCCCUCCCCAAUGUGGGGUACCCCCUGCCCCCGCCCAGCUCCCCUGCCCUCCCAGCUGAGGGGGGAUCGCCGCCUGGUGAUCUCAGCCUCCCCUCCAAGUGGGCUGUGAAGUGUCUAAUCCAGGCUUUCAUCUGGCAUCCACAAUUAUAAUGUCAAGAUUGAAUAAUCUGCCUUUAUCUCCCGGGUGACAGCCAUGUAGAAACUUCAAAAGAAACAGUUUUGCUGGCAUCUAACGGCUUUUGUUAAUUACUAUAUCCCAAAGAAAAUGAAAUAAAGGAGGGAGAAAAAUGAUAUUUCUCUGUGACAACUUUGUAAAAAUAUCAGUGAUGAAGUGGUGCGGUUUAAGGGCUUUAAGUAUUCAUGCGGCUGAGAUGGGGCCUCUACCCUCCCGCUGGGAAGCUUAAGCGUGCCCGAGGGUGCAUGCACACACACACUCACACACUC